GUGCCAGCAGCCGCGGUAAGACGUAGGGGGCGAGCGUUGUCCGGAUUUAUUGGGCGUAAAGCGCGCGUAGGCGGUUCGUUAAGUCGGAUGUGAAAAUCCGGGGCUCAACCCCGGACCUGCAUCCGAUACUGGCGGACUGGAGGCAGGCAGGGGAGAUCGGAAUUCCUGGUGUAGCGGUGAAAUGCGCAGAUAUCAGGAGGAACACCGGUGGCGAAGGCGGAUCUCUGGGCCUGUCCUGACGCUCAGGCGCGAAAGCUAGGGGAGCAAACAGGAUUAGAUACCCUGGUAGUCC
Molecule: ribosomal RNA, 292 nt
Filed under: uncultured bacterium
Lineage: Bacteria
Description: partial 16S ribosomal RNA
Rfam family: Bacterial small subunit ribosomal RNA
Source: RNAcentral